GCUAUCUGGACCGUUAAAGAUAUCUACCAGAGUGCCUGCGGAGAAUUUCUCAGAGCUUCUCAGAGCCUUGAGAAGCUUUAGCAUAUACUCGUGAGAUUUCUAUCGGCACGAAACUACAUUUGAAGCUUCUCUAUUCCGGAGCAAGGGACAUGUGAACAUCGAUUUUGGAGUUCCUCUUUGUUGGAUGUAUCAUUGCAGAAUAUGCGGAUGGGCAAAUGGCAUUUGGGAAGCCAAAAAAUCUUCGUGUCGACUGCCGCGAAUAUUAUUGAAGUAUUGACCUACUAAAUAAAAAAUAUGCACUUCAUGGAUGCUUCUUCUCUUCAUUCAUGGCCUCUAAAAUUUCGCGAGCCACAGGUUUUCCAGUUACUUCAAUACUGAUAUGUUUCUCCCGAUGAUGCUUUGGAUCGUAUUUCCUGGGGGCUGUAAUGGUCA
Long non-coding RNA from Belonocnema kinseyi, 432 nucleotides. RefSeq lists it as uncharacterized. Lineage: Eukaryota; Metazoa; Arthropoda; Insecta; Hymenoptera; Cynipidae. The record is from RefSeq and is a predicted model, not a curated record. The transcript is spliced from 3 exons.